This is a non-coding RNA of Camellia sinensis, 274 nucleotides long. NCBI's taxonomy places the organism in Eukaryota, Viridiplantae, Streptophyta, Magnoliopsida, Ericales, Theaceae. The record is from RefSeq and is a predicted model, not a curated record.
AUUAACUUGACCUCUCUUACAUGAAUUUGUAACUUGGCUUACCGAACAAUCUGAUUGAUUUCACUAUGGGGUGGCAUUUCUCAAGUAAUCCAAUAUGGUUCUCAGUUAGCAGCUGUGAGAGCGUACUCUUUUGAGGGAAAUUUUCGUCGAGGAGAAGAAAGUAUAUGUAAGAGAUUUUGUGAAGCUUUUUGAAGAGGCUUGAUCUAUUUUUUCACAUUUCAAGCAGAUUUAUGGGCUACAUAUAAAUGGAGCCUUUUGUCCAGAAAAUAUAGUU